GACCAGAUGUUUUUUAUGACUGACAGGCUUCGGGUCUUUCAGGAUAUUGUUUUUGGUGGUGCAUGGCCGUUGGUGGUGCGUGGGUUGACCUGUCUAGCGUUGAUUCAGCUAACGAGCGAGAUUAUCGCCAAUUAUUUACUUUGCCGAAGUCCUUCGGUUAAAGUUCUAAUUGGGACUCCCUGCGAUUUUAGCAGGUGGAAGAGGGUAGCAAUAACAGGUCCGUGAUGCCCUUUAGAUGCUCUGGGCUGCACGCGUGCUACAAUGUUAGGAUCAAUAGGACUGCGAGCCUGAGAGGGUGCGCUACUCUUAUAAUCCCUAACGUAGUUGGGAUUGACGUUUGUAAUCAGCGUCAUGAACCAGGAAUCCCUUGUAAAUGUGUGUCAACAACGCACGUUGAAUACGUCCCUGCCCUUUGUACACACCGCCCGUCGCUCCUACCGAUUGGAUGACUCGGUGAAAUCACCGGAUGCUUACGAGCAGAAAGUGAUUAAAUCACGUUAUCUAGAGGAAGGAGAAGUCGUAACAAGGUAACGGUAGGUGAACCUGCCGUUGGAUCAGUU
RNAcentral lists this non-coding RNA (560 nucleotides) under Trichomonas vaginalis G3. RNAcentral's name for it is "Eukaryotic small subunit ribosomal RNA". It matches the Rfam family "Eukaryotic small subunit ribosomal RNA", at positions 1221 to 1831 of the family's 1831-position model. Lineage: Eukaryota; Parabasalia; Trichomonadida; Trichomonadidae. The record is from Rfam by way of RNAcentral.